Molecule: ribosomal RNA, 472 nt
Filed under: uncultured bacterium
Lineage: Bacteria
Description: bacterial SSU rRNA
Rfam family: Bacterial small subunit ribosomal RNA
Source: RNAcentral
AGAGUUUGAUCCUGGCUCAGGAUGAACGCUGGCGGCGUGCCUAACACAUGCAAGUCGAGCGAUCUUCUUCGGAAGAGAGCGGCGGACGGGUGAGUAACGCGUGGGUAACCUGCCCUGUACACACGGAUAACAUACCGAAAGGUAUGCUAAUACGAGAUAAUAUGCUUUUAUCGCAUGGUAGAAGUAUCAAAGCUUUUGCGGUACAGGAUGGACCCGCGUCUGAUUAGCUGGUUGGUAAGGUAACGGCUUACCAAGGCGACGAUCAGUAGCCGACCUGAGAGGGUGAUCGGCCACAUUGGAACUGAGACACGGUCCAAAUUCCUACGGGAGGCAGCAGUGGGGAAUAUUGCACAAUGGGCGAAAGCCUGAUGCAGCAACGCCGCGUGAGCGAUGAAGGCCUUCGGGUCGUAAAGCUCUGUCCUCAAGGAAGAUAAUGACGGUACUUGAGGAGGAAGCCCCAGCUAACUACGUG